CAGUCGCCACGGGAAUACGUAGGUGGCAAGCGUUGUCCGGAAUUAUUGGGCGUAAAGGGCUCGCAGGCGGUUUCUUAAGUCUGAUGUGAAAGCCCCCGGCUCAACCGGGGAGGGUCAUUGGAAACUGGGAAACUCGAGUGCAGAAGAGGAGAGUGGAAUUCCACGUGUAGCGGUGAAAUGCGUAGAGAUGUGGAGGAACACCAGUGGCGAAGGCGACUCUCUGGUCUGUAACUGACGCUGAGGAGCGAAAGCGUGGGGAGCGAACAGGAUUAGAUACCCGUGUAGUCCCUGUCUCUUAUAC
RNAcentral lists this ribosomal RNA (301 nucleotides) under uncultured bacterium. RNAcentral describes it as "partial 16S ribosomal RNA". It matches the Rfam family "Bacterial small subunit ribosomal RNA", at positions 509 to 807 of the family's 1533-position model. The record is from RNAcentral.